This 250-nucleotide ribosomal RNA is filed under the name uncultured bacterium. RNAcentral describes it as "partial 16S ribosomal RNA". It matches the Rfam family "Bacterial small subunit ribosomal RNA", at positions 83 to 334 of the family's 1533-position model. The record is from RNAcentral.
CCUUGAUGGCGACCGGCGCACGGGUGAGUAACGCGUAUGCAACCUGCCCGAUACCGGGGUAUAGCCCAUGGAAACGUGGAUUAACACCCCAUAGUACUUUUAUCCUGCCUGGGAUGGGAGUUAAAUGUUCAAGGUAUCGGAUGGGCAUGCGUCCUAUUAGUUAGUUGGCGGGGUAACAGCCCACCAAGACGAUGAUAGGUAGGGGUUCUGAGAGGAAGGUCCCCCACAUUGGAACUGAGACACGGACCAA